This 74-nucleotide transfer RNA is filed under the name Lactobacillus selangorensis. Its description in RNAcentral is "Paralactobacillus selangorensis tRNA". It matches the Rfam family "tRNA". Rfam says of the family: Transfer RNA (tRNA) molecules are approximately 80 nucleotides in length. Their secondary structure includes four short double-helical elements and three loops (D, anti-codon, and T loops). Lineage: Bacteria; Bacillati; Bacillota; Bacilli; Lactobacillales; Lactobacillaceae. The record is from Rfam by way of RNAcentral.
GUCACAAUAGCCCAGCUGGAUAGAGCAACGGUCUUCUAAACCGUAGGUCGUGGGUUCGAACCCCACUUGUGACA